GCGAAAAGAGCUCGGUAAGGUUUGAGCAAUAGAUUGUGGAUCUAAAGGUCAAGGGUUCAAAUCCCUUUUUUCGCC
This 75-nucleotide transfer RNA is filed under the name Kappaphycus striatus. Its description in RNAcentral is "tRNA-His". It matches the Rfam family "tRNA". From Rfam's summary of the family: Transfer RNA (tRNA) molecules are approximately 80 nucleotides in length. The record is from RNAcentral. Lineage: Eukaryota; Rhodophyta; Florideophyceae; Gigartinales; Solieriaceae.